GACGAACGCUGGCGGCGGGCUUAACACAUGCAAGUCGAACGGCAAGGCCCUGCUUUCGUGCGGUGCUCGAGUGGCGCCCGGGUGAGGAACACGUGCGUAACCCGACCUUGACUUUGGGAUAACUUCAGCACGCCGGGGCUCAUACCGGUUCGGUGUUCUUGCCGCUUGGUGGGGCUUGGAUAGUUUCGGCGGUUGGGGAUGGGGUCGCGGCUUGUCAGCUUGUUGGUGGGGUAGUGGCUUACCAGGGCUUUGGCGGGUAGCCGGCCUGAGAGGGUGACCGGCCACAUUGGGACUGGGAUACGGCCCAGAGUCGUGCGGGAGGCAGCAGUAGGGAAGAUUGCACGAUGGGCGCAAGUCGGAUGCAGCAACGCCGCGUGCGGGGUGGCAACCUUCGGGUUUGAAACCGCAAUGUGCUGUGACGGAGCGUGAGUGACGGUAAUGGGUAAAUAAGCACCGGCUAACUACGUG
RNAcentral lists this ribosomal RNA (468 nucleotides) under uncultured bacterium. Its description in RNAcentral is "partial 16S ribosomal RNA". It matches the Rfam family "Bacterial small subunit ribosomal RNA", at positions 28 to 507 of the family's 1533-position model. The record is from RNAcentral.